UAGUAUUAUGAAACAAUAGGUGUCUGUUAAAGACUUAAUAGGGAAUCCGGUGCAAGUCCGGAGCUGUCCCCGCAACUGUCAUGUGGACGAAACGGAGAUCCACUGUGUAAAGAACGCGCACAAAGCUGUGGCUUUUACAUGGGAAGGUCCGGAGUAGGAUGAAGCAGUAGCCAGUAGACCUGCCAUUUGUUUCACGGUUUU
This 201-nucleotide non-coding RNA is filed under the name Fictibacillus enclensis. The record is from RNAcentral. Lineage: Bacteria; Bacillati; Bacillota; Bacilli; Caryophanales; Fictibacillaceae.